This 387-nucleotide ribosomal RNA is filed under the name uncultured bacterium. RNAcentral's name for it is "bacterial SSU rRNA". It matches the Rfam family "Bacterial small subunit ribosomal RNA", at positions 29 to 417 of the family's 1533-position model. The record is from RNAcentral.
AUUGAACGCUGGCGGCAUGCCUUACACAUGCAAGUCGAACGGUAACGCGGGGCAACCUGGCGACGAGUGGCGAACGGGUGAGUAAUACAUCGGAACGUGCCCAGUAGUGGGGGAUAGCCCGGCGAAAGCCGGAUUAAUACCGCAUACGACCUACGGGUGAAAGCGGGGGAUCGCAAGACCUCGCGCUAUUGGAGCGGCCGAUGUCAGAUUAGCUAGUUGGUGGGGUAAAAGCCUACCAAGGCGACGAUCUGUAGCUGGUCUGAGAGGACGACCAGCCACACUGGGACUGAGACACGGCCCAGACUCCUACGGGAGGCAGCAGUGGGGAAUUUUUGGACAAUGGGGGGCAACCCUGAUCCAGCCAUGCCGCGUGCGGGAAGAAGGCCU